RNAcentral lists this ribosomal RNA (520 nucleotides) under uncultured Acinetobacter sp. RNAcentral's name for it is "bacterial SSU rRNA". It matches the Rfam family "Bacterial small subunit ribosomal RNA", at positions 1 to 519 of the family's 1533-position model. Lineage: Bacteria; Pseudomonadati; Pseudomonadota; Gammaproteobacteria; Moraxellales; Moraxellaceae. The record is from RNAcentral.
UAGAUUAGAGUUUUGACCUGGCUCAGAUUGAACGCUGGCGGCAGGCUUAACACAUGCAAGUCGAGCGGAGAGAGGUAGCUUGCUACUGAUCUUAGCGGCGGACGGGUGAGUAAUGCUUAGGAAUCUGCCUAUUAGUGGGGGACAACAUUUCGAAAGGAAUGCUAAUACCGCAUACGUCCUACGGGAGAAAGCAGGGGAUCUUCGGACCUUGCGCUAAUAGAUGAGCCUAAGUCGGAUUAGCUAGUUGGUGGGGUAAAGGCCUACCAAGGCGACGAUCUGUAGCGGGUCUGAGAGGAUGAUCCGCCACACUGGGACUGAGACACGGCCCAGACUCCUACGGGAGGCAGCAGUGGGGAAUAUUGGACAAUGGGCGCAAGCCUGAUCCAGCCAUGCCGCGUGUGUGAAGAAGGCCUUAUGGUUGUAAAGCACUUUAAGCGAGGAGGAGGCUACUUUAGUUAAUACCUAGAGAUAGUGGACGUUACUCGCAGAAUAAGCACCGGCUACUCUGCCAGCGUUCCCC